This 450-nucleotide ribosomal RNA is filed under the name uncultured bacterium. RNAcentral describes it as "partial 16S ribosomal RNA". It matches the Rfam family "Bacterial small subunit ribosomal RNA", at positions 354 to 796 of the family's 1533-position model. The record is from RNAcentral.
GUGGGGAAUUUUGGACAAUGGGCGCAAGCCUGAUCCAGCAAUGCCGCGUGUGUGAAGAAGGCCUUCGGGUUGUAAAGCACUUUUGUCCGGAAAGAAAUGGCCUGGGUUAAUACCCCGGGUCGAUGACGGUACCGGAAGAAUAAGCACCGGCUAACUACGUGCCAGCAGCCGCGGUAAUACGUAGGGUGCGAGCGUUAAUCGGAAUUACUGGGCGUAAAGCGUGCGCAGGCGGCGAUGCAAGACAGAUGUGAAAUCCCCGGGCUCAACCUGGGAACUGCAUUUGUGACUGCAUGGCUAGAGUGCGUCAGAGGGGGGUGGAAUUCCGCGUGUAGCAGUGAAAUGCGUAGAGAUGCGGAGGAACACCGAUGGCGAAGGCGGCUACCUGGACCGAUAUUGACGCUGAGACGCGAAAGCGUGGGGAGCAAACAGGAUUAGAAACCCCAGUAGUCC